UUUAAAGUGCCAAAACAAUUUUAACUAAGCGCAAAACGGAGCCUGGAGCCACCCGCGGAUCCAAUUACCGUACGGGAGCUUAGAGCCUGAUAGUGCCGCCAUGUUAAGGCUGUUUCUGGAGAAACAAACUCAAUUCCAAAGUUUAGAGUUUCUGUAAUUAAAAAAGCCAAAGCAGCAACGCAAAGGAAGGAGAGAAGAUACAAGAGGGAGAGAAACGAGGGAGGAGGAGAGGACUGGAGGAGGAGAGGAGGACUGGAGGGAGAGCUGAGGAGGAGCAGCAGGAAGCAGGAGGUGAAGGUGGGGAGGAAUAAUGAGGAUCCACCAGAACCAGAACCAGAACCAGAACCAGAACCACAGACCAGCCUGAAUAAUCCAAACCAAACGCAGUGAGACUCAGAUGCAGAACAAACUGCAGAUGUGGACUCUCCUAUCGGCCUGCAGGGAUCUGUCCGUCCGUUCGUCUGUCCUCCUCAGGUUUUCUGUGGAUUUGCUCUGAAUUUCCAUCUUUGGCUCGUCUGAAAGUGUCGUAAUGAUCAGGAGGAAGUCUCUCAUUCAGGGCCGAGCCGUCGUCUUUGACUCUGAAAAAUGUAAAUUCAUUCCAGAGGACUUCAUUUGGUUGGCUCUCCUCUCCCGUUCGCCUCAGGCGCGGUCGAGCUGCAGUCUUGGAAAACUUUGGAAGCUGUUUUCCAGAUCCGGAGUUUCAGUCUUCGUUCGUCUCUGGGGCGAAAAGUUUUCAGGAACUUUUAAACUUGGAUCAGAGGAGAAGCUGAUGAGAAAAUGAAACGUUUCUCUGGAGUUAAAACACGUCGACGGUCUGAAAGGAACAUGGCUGUUUGGUUCCUUUGGAUCGGCAGACGGAGCAGCUGAAACGGUGCGGCUGUUUCUGAUUUUCUGAAGCCUCCUGGAGGAAAGAGAAGCAGCAAAACGACAGACAGACGAUGAAGACCUGAAAUGUCUGAGCAGAGAUCAGCUUCCUGUCUGCUGGAGACUCGACGUUUCACUUUUCACUGUCAGUCAGACAAACGCGGCUAAACUCACAGCUGACACUCCGUGUUUCUCUGCCAACUCUUCAUCGCUCUUUUCUCUGCUCCUCUUCAUCCCCGGAGAGCCAUCUUUCAUUUCCGGCUUCACCUUCCUCCCGUCUGGCUGAGCGGCGUGGAGAGACGCUCCUCUGCUGUCAGAGCUGCGGCGGAGAUGGAAGCUGAAACAUACAUGAGGAGACGUGAAGCUCUGCUCUCUCUGCAGACAUCAGUAAAUCACAUUUGUUCCAUCGCAUCAUGAAUCAUAAACUAUAAUGUUUGCAUCAGACGCCAGCCGGCCUGAAGAAAAGACGAGACAGA
Molecule: long non-coding RNA, 1340 nt
Organism: Xiphophorus hellerii (green swordtail)
Lineage: Eukaryota; Metazoa; Chordata; Actinopteri; Cyprinodontiformes; Poeciliidae
Exons: 3
Source: RefSeq, a predicted model, not a curated record